GGAGGGACAGGUCGCCCACCCACCACAUUCCGGGACUCAAUAGCAGUCUCCUCCCAAUUCGCACUCCGCACUCCGGCACAGUUGGCAACUGUAGGUAAAUUCUGGGAGACAGGAGUUAAUGUGCUCAUCACAGUUGUAGAGGAUUCAAACGCCAGAGGAAGCAGAAAUCCUGCGGCUGAGGCUGAGAACGCAAGGUAUCUGAGACUAGAUUCCUGACUUGGUGGUUUGCUUUUGUUGAAAAGAGACAAUGUCCUUGGAAUCUUGUUGACCAAGCAAAAUAAGUAUCUUGGACCACUUUCUACUGUAGAAGAAGGCAUUGUCACCAAGCCUUCAGGGAAAAUAGAAUGACCCCCACAGAGCACUCCCAGCAUACCUGGGGAAGGAAUACGCAGCAGUUUAUGGUGGUUGUGCAAACGAAGAUCCCUCCAGAUGUGAAUCCAAAGACUAGAUUGGACCAGGAGUGCAAGUAUCUGGUGAGCACGAAAAUUAGCCCAGCGCUGAGUAGCAGGAGGGUGACUCCGACCAUGAUGGUCAAGGACUGGUUCACCGGAGGAGAGCUGACAUGGUUGGUCAGGCCAGCCAGGACAACUGCUGAUGAGACAAUAACAGUCACAGAAGCCAGCUCAAUCAGGAAUUAGAUUGCCUAGGGAGAGGCCCUCACCUUCAUGCUGACACCAAGGAUCUGAAGACACUGGAUGGGAUCUGUUAGCACCCACGUCACAAGCAGGAUUACAUCAGCCACCACCAGGGCUGCCACCAAACCCAGCAACUGCAGGUCUUUGAUAAUCUGCAAAAGAGUCAAGGUCAAGAUGUCUCCUCUCUUGCUGGCUGUAUUUAACACGGGUGCUAGAGUGUGCCCUGUGCUCUGAGCUAUGGGCUAUAGUGACAGCGCUCUGUUGGAGAGUCAAACGCAGCCAUCAACAACAACACCGAUGAGGACUGCAAGACUGAAUGCCUUCCCUGAGAGUCUAUUCAGUUAUUGUUAUUGUUACCAUUAAACCUUUCCAUUUGUUUAACUUUUGUUUUGUUUUAGUUUUUGAAGAUAGGGUUUCUCUGUGUGGCCUGGAUGUCCUGGAACUCACUCUGUAGACCAUUCUGGCCUCAGACUCACAGAAAUCUGCCUGCCUCUGCCUCCCAAGUGCUGGGAUUAAAAGCGUGUGCCACCACCACCCAGCUUGUUUAAUGUUUUGAUGUCCUAACUUUUCUGGCAAAGGUUUCCAGUGGUCUUGUAAAGGAAGUUCACUUUUAUCUCUAUGAGCACAUGAGAAAUGUGGAGAGCUACUACCAGACUUUGCCAUAACUCAGAGAUGGGACUGAAAGAUGGAGGCAUUAUUAGUAUUUUCUCUAUAGAUUCACUAGUAUGAAGAGACUGCUCUUUUUAUGACAAUAAAUCUUAAAUUGAUUAUGACAAUUUAAUAAAAGAUAUAUAAGACUGUUUUGA
Molecule: non-coding RNA, 1441 nt
Organism: Cricetulus griseus (Chinese hamster)
Lineage: Eukaryota; Metazoa; Chordata; Mammalia; Rodentia; Cricetidae
Source: RefSeq, a predicted model, not a curated record